GACGAACGCUGGCGGCGUGCUUAACACAUGCAAGUCGAACGGAAAGGCCCUGCUUUUGUGGGGUGCUCGAGUGGCGAACGGGUGAGUAACACGUGAGUAACCUGCCCUUGACUUUGGGAUAACUUCAGGAAACUGGGGCUAAUACCGGAUAGGAGCUCCUGCUGCAUGGUGGGGGUUGGAAAGUUUCGGCGGUUGGGGAUGGACUCGCGGCUCAUCAGCUUGUUGGUGGGGUAGUGGCUUACCAAGGCUUUGACGGGUAGCCGGCCUGAGAGGGUGACCGGCCGCAUUGGGACUGAGAUACGGCCCAGACUCCUACGGGAGGCAGCAGUGGGGAAUAUUGCACAAUGGGCGGAAGCCUGAUGCAGCAACGCCGCGUGCGGGAUGACGGCCUUCGGGUUGUAAACCGCUUUCGCCUGUGACGAAGCGUGAGUGACGGUAAUGGGUAAAGAAGCACCGGCUAACUACGUG
This 468-nucleotide ribosomal RNA is filed under the name uncultured bacterium. RNAcentral's name for it is "partial 16S ribosomal RNA". It matches the Rfam family "Bacterial small subunit ribosomal RNA", at positions 28 to 507 of the family's 1533-position model. The record is from RNAcentral.